AUUGAAUGCUGGCGACAUGCCUUACACAUGCAAGUCGAACGGCAGCACGGGUGCUUGCACCUGGUGGCGAGUGGCGAACGGGUGAGUAAUACAUCGGAACAUGUCCUGUAGUGGGGGAUAGCCCGGCGAAAGCCGGAUUAAUACCGCAUACGAUCUACGGAUGAAAGCGGGGGACCUUCGGGCCUCGCGCUAUAGGGUUGGCCGAUGGCUGAUUAGCUAGUUGGUGGGGUAAAGGCCUACCAAGGCGACGAUCAGUAGCUGGUCUGAGAGGACGACCAGCCACACUGGGACUGAGACACGGCCCAGACUCCUACGGGAGGCAGCAGUGGGGAAUUUUGGACAAUGGGCGAAAGCCUGAUCCAGCAAUGCCGCGUGUGUGAAGAAGGCCUUCGGGUUGUAAAGCACUUUUGUCCGGAAAGAAAUCCUUGGCCCUAAUACGGUCGGGGGAUGACGGUACCGGAAGAAUAAGCACCGGCUAACUACGUG
RNAcentral lists this ribosomal RNA (486 nucleotides) under uncultured bacterium. RNAcentral's name for it is "partial 16S ribosomal RNA". It matches the Rfam family "Bacterial small subunit ribosomal RNA", at positions 30 to 507 of the family's 1533-position model. The record is from RNAcentral.